UGUUCGCCAUUUAAAGUGGUACGCGCGCUGGGUUUAGAACGUCGUGAGACAGUUCGGUCCCUAUCUGCCGUGGGCGCUGGAGAAUUGAGGGGGGCUGCUCCUAGUACGAGAGGACCGGAGUGGACGCAUCACUGGUGUUCGGGUUGUCAUGCCAAUGGCACUGCCCGGUAGCUAAAUGCGGAAGAGAUAAGUGCUGAAAGCAUCUAAGCACGAAACUUGCCCCGAGAUGAGUUCUCCCUGAGACUUUAAGUCUCCUGAAGGAACGUUAAAGACGAUGACGUUGAUAGGCCGGGUGUGUAAGCGCAGCGAUGCGUUGAGCUAACCGGUACUAAUGAACCGUGAGGCUUAACCUUACAACGCCGAAG
Molecule: ribosomal RNA, 365 nt
Filed under: Klebsiella pneumoniae MRSN 3852
Lineage: Bacteria; Pseudomonadati; Pseudomonadota; Gammaproteobacteria; Enterobacterales; Enterobacteriaceae
Description: bacterial LSU rRNA
Rfam family: Bacterial large subunit ribosomal RNA
Source: RNAcentral